Molecule: long non-coding RNA, 1966 nt
Organism: Anolis carolinensis (green anole)
Lineage: Eukaryota; Metazoa; Chordata; Lepidosauria; Squamata; Anolidae
Source: Ensembl
AUGAAGGCAUUUCUUUGCUCUUUGACCGCUCUCUUAUUUGCUAUUCUGAGACUUCUGCACAACCCCCGAAAUUCCAAACGGCUAGCCCGAUCGAGAGAAACGGCCUCAUUGCUUUCAAGCACAGACCACAGAUCCGUUAGUGUGAUCAGGCUGAGGCUGGGAACUGCUCUCCCUUUCUGCUUCUUGCACCUGAAAACCAUCAUCAGUAACAACAUCAUUUCUUCCCGUAGGAAAGCCUCCCUGCUCCUCAUCUCCCACAGCAGGAACACCCAGCACCUGAAUCCCAUAAUUCCCAUCAGAGUCAUCUUGAAACCCAUCCUGAACCUAAUUCCCAUCAGAGUCAUCUUGAAACUCAUCCUGAACCUGAAUCCCUUCAUCUUGAAACUGCAUCCCAGAAUCCUCAUCAGAGUCAUACAAAGGCUGAGUCACAACAAUUUGCAUCUCACAAAUUUGGGGUUGUUGUUCAUGAUCAACCCAAUAGUAUGCAUUGCCUGACUGCUUCUUGGAAGCUGCUAAACUAAUUAUGAGACAAACCAUGAUAUCCAAGAAUACAUUUGCAUUGUAGAAUUAAUGUUGUUUAAUACCAUGUUAACUGCCAUGGGUAAAUGCUAUAGAAUCAUGGAAGCUGUCGUUUCACAAAGUCUUUGGUUGCUGUGAGUUUUCUGGGCUGUGUGGCCAUGUUCCAGAAGCAUUCUCUCUUGAUGUUUCGCCCACAUCUAUGGCACAUCCUCAGAGGUUGUGAGGUCUGUUGGAAACUAGGCAAGUAGGGUGUAUAUUUUUGUGCAAUGUCCAGGGCAGGAGAAAGAACUCUUGUUCGUUUGAGGCAAGUGCGAAUGUUGCCAUUGUCCACUUUGAUUAGCAUGGAAUGGCUUUUCAGCUUGAAAACCUCACUGCUUCCUGCCUGGCGGUAUCCUUUGUUGGGAGGUGUUAGCUGUCUUGAUUGUUUCAAGCUUGGAUUUACCCAGUUUUCUGAGUGUUGUUCUUUAUUUACUGUCCUAAUUUUAUAGUUUUUUUAAUACUGGGAACCAGAUUUUGUUCAUUUUCGUGGUUUCCUCAUUUCUGUUGAAAUUUUCCUCAUGUUUGUGAAUUUCAAUGGUUCCUCUGUGUAGUCUGACAUGGUCGUUCUUGGAGUGGUCCAACAUUUCUGUGUUCUGUAAUAAUAUGCUGUGUCCAGGUUGAUUCAUCAAGUGCUCUGCCAUGGCUGAUUUCUCUAGUUGAAUUAGUCUGCAGUGCCUUUCAUGUUCUUUGAUUCGUGUUUGGGAAUUGCUGUGUUUGGGGGUCCUUAUGUAGACUUGUCCACAGCUGCAUGGUGUAAAGUAAGAAGCCGGUUUGGCCGAAGUAAAAUGGCUAAAACGGAUCCAUGCACAAGUAUAUUGAACAUUAAAAACUCACCAUAAUAAUAUUUGACCUUUUUAAAAAUGGUCUUGCUGAACAAAAAAAGAAAAGAAAAUUAAAGGAAAUCAGUGAGCGUUGGUAUCUAUUAUUGGAGAGGACUAAUAUAAUCAAUUUUGCUUCAUGUAGUGGCAUGCAUUGGUGACUGGCUGAGUAUCUUUUGCAAUAGAGUUGCAUGCAUCUACAACACUGUGUACAUCUUUAGAUGCAUGCCAAAUGGCGCUAAGAUUUCAUGUACAUGUUCAACUGGGCGGCUUUCCAUGGGAACAUAUGUCACUUUGCAUUGCUUACAUUUCAAAGCGCCUUCCCAAAUGGAUUUAUUCUUAUUGGCAAAAUGAGGCCAAGAAACAUGCUAACCUUCAGGAUGAAACUUUUGGUUUUUCAAAAUGCGCUGGGCAGUCGUCAAAUAAGUCAGAUUUUUAGCAUUGGUAGCAAGAUCGUAAUUAUGCCGUCAACUAUUCUCUCCAAAUGAAAUCCUGUAUCAGUAAUGAUACAGUGGUACUUAAAGAUUUUAGGAGUUAUCCAAGGAAUUAUGCUAAUCCCAUACAACCAGCAUUGUACGCACUUCCCCCCU